This is a long non-coding RNA of Fundulus heteroclitus (mummichog), 564 nucleotides long. RefSeq lists it as uncharacterized. The record is from RefSeq and is a predicted model, not a curated record. The transcript is spliced from 4 exons. NCBI's taxonomy places the organism in Eukaryota, Metazoa, Chordata, Actinopteri, Cyprinodontiformes, Fundulidae.
GUUUUCUGUCCUGAUGUCUUCCUGGCAGCUGCAAACCAAACUGCUCCUUGAAGAGAAGAAAGAAACUUUGAACCUUGAAGCUUCCAGGAACUCCACUGCUGCUCCUGCUGCUGCCCCGCCCUCCUACCUGUCCCACCUCCAUCACAGCUGAAGCUCCGCCUCCUUCCAGGUAGCAGCUCACCUGUGUCUCAGUGCUUCACAUCUUGUUCUUCAGCACUUUGGAGCGUCUGAACAAACUCACAAAGUUUCAUCUCUGCUGUCUGAAGACUAAUCUACAGGAUUAUUAGAUUAUUGAUGAACUGGAACCAAACAACAUGAUGAACAGCUGAUGUUCAGAUGUGAUGUUUAGAUGAGCAGAACUCUGUCGACCCAAUCAGAGCUUCACGGCUCCAGAUGAUCCGUCUAAAAUCUAAAUAUCUGGGAGCUUAAAGACAGGAACGUCCUUCAUGUCCAAUAAAGCCCGGACUUCACUGUGGCUCCACUUCUCUGGCUCUGGCUCCAUUUUGGUAAAUGUGAAGGUAGAAAGUGUGUGUGAGCUGAUGUGGAUGUGAAUUCAGCAGCAUG